Molecule: unclassified non-coding RNA, 231 nt
Filed under: Hevea brasiliensis (rubber tree)
Lineage: Eukaryota; Viridiplantae; Streptophyta; Magnoliopsida; Malpighiales; Euphorbiaceae
Source: RNAcentral
CAAUCGGCCAAUCUCCGCGCGAAAUCAUAGUAUCUGUUUUCAUUUCGCUUUCUCUCUCUCUUCCCUCUCUCCGUUCGAUGUCGCCGACGACUUCCUAAGCUUCGUUAACAAGGGAAAUCAAAUUUCGUUCAAAGAUACUGGAAACCGAUGGCUGCACCACCGGCAAGGGCUCGUGCUGAUUACGAUUACCUCAUUAAGCUUUUGCUUAUUGGCGAUAGCGGUGUGGGAAAG